GGAGUGAGGGUGACCUGGCUGCGGCAUCUGUCAUUCCAAGGAUCACCAAGGUUGAUUCGGUUGAUUGUCUGGCUAGGUGAUGUCCCCUUCCUUCCUCACGACUCCAUGUGUGUCCGUCUGAAGCCACGCUUGCUUGAAGAGGACGACCAUACCCACUACAAGAGGACCAGUCUUCCAUCAAGGGUAUAAAAGUGGCUGUGCACCCUCGCCCACCCCUUCUAGAACCUUCAAACAAGCUCUUAAAUAGACUUCUU
RNAcentral lists this small RNA (254 nucleotides) under Ochotona princeps (American pika). RNAcentral describes it as "7SK RNA (ENSOPRG00000020989.1)". It matches the Rfam family "7SK RNA", at positions 1 to 248 of the family's 331-position model. Rfam says of the family: 7SK was discovered as an abundant small nuclear RNA in the mid-70s but a possible function has only recently been suggested. Two independent studies have found that 7SK RNA binds the CDK9/cyclin T complex (known as elongation factor P-TEFb). Lineage: Eukaryota; Metazoa; Chordata; Mammalia; Lagomorpha; Ochotonidae. The record is from RNAcentral.